Molecule: ribosomal RNA, 253 nt
Filed under: uncultured bacterium
Lineage: Bacteria
Description: partial 16S ribosomal RNA
Rfam family: Bacterial small subunit ribosomal RNA
Source: RNAcentral
UACGUAGGGACCGAGCGUUGUCCGGAAUCAUUGGGCGUAAAGAGCUCGUAGGCGGUUUGUCGCGUCUGCCGUGAAAGUCCGGGGCUCAACUCCGGAUCUGCGGUGGGUACGGGCAGACUAGAGUGAUGUAGGGGAGACUGGAAUUCCUGGUGUAGCGGUGAAAUGCGCAGAUAUCAGGAGGAACACCGAUGGCGAAGGCAGGUCUCUGGGCUGACACUGACGCUCAUGCACGAAAGCGUGGGGAGCAAACAGG